Molecule: small nucleolar RNA, 75 nt
Organism: Phyllostomus discolor (pale spear-nosed bat)
Lineage: Eukaryota; Metazoa; Chordata; Mammalia; Chiroptera; Phyllostomidae
Product: small nucleolar RNA SNORD113/SNORD114 family
Exons: 1
Source: RefSeq, a predicted model, not a curated record
CGGGUUAACAAUGGCCGCUGCUGGCGUCUGAGCCGUACAUGAUGAUUACUGUGUCGCUGGACCUCUGAGGGCCGC